GAACGUACGCUGGCGGCACGCCUAACACAUGCAAGUCGAACGAAGUAGCAAUACUUAGUGGCAGACGGGUGAGUAACAUGUAGGUAUCUGCCCUUUGGCCUGGAAUAACACGAGGAAACUUGUGCUAAUACCGGAUAAGUCUUUACGGAGAAAGCUUUAUGCACCAUUGGAUGAGCCUGCACUUGAUUAGUUUGUUGGUGGGGUAAUGGCCUACCAAGACUGUGAUCAAUAGCUGAUUUGAGAGGAUGAUCAGCCACAUUGGGACUGAGACACGGCCCAAACUCCUACGGGAGGCAGCAGUGGGGAAUCUUGCACAAUGGAGGAAACUCUGAUGCAGCGAUGCCGCGUGAGUGAAGAGGGCCCUUGGGUUGUAAAGCUCUUUCGUCGGGGAAGAAAAUGACUGUACCCGAAUAAGAAGGUCCGGCUAACUUCGUGCCAGCAGCCGCGGUAAUACGAAGGGACCUAGCGUAGUUCGGAAUUACUGGGCUUAAAGAGUUCGUAGGUGGUUGAAAAAGUUGGUGGUGAAAUCCCAGAGCUUAACUCUGGAACUGCCAUCAAAACUUUUCAGCUAGAGUAUGAUAGAGGAAAGCAGAAUUUCUAGUGUAGAGGUGAAAUUCGUAGAUAUUAGAAAGAAUACCAAUUGCGAAGGCAGCUUUCUGGAUCAUUACUGACACUGAGGAACGAAAGCAUGGGUAGCGAAGAGGAUUAGAUACCCUCGUAGUCCAUGCCGUAAACGAUGUGUGUUAGACGUUGGAAAUUUAUUUUCAGUGUCGCAGCGAAAGCGAUAAACACACCGCCUGGGGAGUACGACCGCAAGGUUAAAACUCAAAUGAAUUGACGGGGACCCGCACAAGUAGUGGAGCAUGUGGUUUAAUUCGAAGAUACGCGCAGAACCUUACCAACACUUGACAUGUUCGUCGCGACUCUAAGAGAUUAGAGUUUUCGGUUCGGCCGGACGAAACACAGGUGCUGCAUGGCUGUCGUCAGCUCGUGUCGUGAGAUGUUGGGUUAAGUCCCGCAACGAGCGCAACCCUCACUUUUAGUUGCCAUCAUUAAGUUGGGCACUCUGAAAGAACUGCCAGUGAUAAGCUGGAGGAAGGUGGGGAUGACGUCAAGUCCUCAUGGCCCUUACGUGUUGGGCUACACACGUGCUACAAUGGUAUCUACAACAGGAAGCAAGACUGCGAAGUUAAGCAAAUCCCUAAAAGAUACCUCAGUUCGGAUUGCACUCUGCAACUCGAGUGCAUGAAGCUGGAAUUACUAGUAAUCGUGGAUCAGCGUGCCACGGUGAAUGCGUUCCCGGGUCUUGUACACACCGC
RNAcentral lists this ribosomal RNA (1319 nucleotides) under uncultured Alphaproteobacteria bacterium. RNAcentral's name for it is "bacterial SSU rRNA". It matches the Rfam family "Bacterial small subunit ribosomal RNA", at positions 27 to 1393 of the family's 1533-position model. The record is from RNAcentral. Lineage: Bacteria; Pseudomonadati; Pseudomonadota; Alphaproteobacteria.